Molecule: transfer RNA, 69 nt
Filed under: Mesorhizobium sp.
Lineage: Bacteria; Pseudomonadati; Pseudomonadota; Alphaproteobacteria; Hyphomicrobiales; Phyllobacteriaceae
Description: tRNA-Ser
Source: RNAcentral
CCCACGUUAAGGGGUAGCACAUCAUUCGUAAUGAUGGGGUCAGGUGUUCGAGUCACCUAAGCGGCACCA